CCUACGGGAGGCAGCAGUGGGGAAUAUUGGGCAAUGGGCGCAAGCCUGAACCAGCAAAGCCGCGUGAAGGAAGAAGGCUCUAGGGUUGGUAACCUCCUUUUAGAGGGAAGAGCAGAAGACGGUACCUCUUGAAUAAGCCAUGGCUAACUACGUGCCAGCAGCAGAGGUCAUACGGAGGUGGCAAGCGUUGGCCGGAUUUACUGGGUAUAAAGGGCGUGCAGCCGGAAAGACAAGUCAGAUGUGAAAUCCCGCGGCUCAACCGCGGAACUGCAUUUGAAACUGUUUUUCUUGAGUGCCCGAGAGGUAUGCGGAAUUCGUGGUGUAGCGGUGAAAUGCGUAGAUAUAACGAAGAACACCGGUGGCGAAGGCAGCAGACUGGAGGGCAACUGACGGUGAGGCGCGAAAGCGUGGGGAUCGAACAGGAUUAGAUACCCGGGUAGUC
Molecule: ribosomal RNA, 442 nt
Filed under: uncultured bacterium
Lineage: Bacteria
Description: partial 16S ribosomal RNA
Rfam family: Bacterial small subunit ribosomal RNA
Source: RNAcentral